This 260-nucleotide unclassified non-coding RNA is filed under the name air metagenome. RNAcentral describes it as "partial contains small subunit ribosomal RNA, internal transcribed spacer 1, and 5.8S ribosomal RNA". The stretch from base 1 to 46 matches the Rfam family "Eukaryotic small subunit ribosomal RNA", at positions 1786 to 1831 of the family's 1831-position model. The record is from RNAcentral.
AAGUCGUAACAAGGUUUCCGUAGGUGAACCUGCGGAAGGAUCAUUACCGAGUUCUCGGGCUUCGGCUCGAAUCUCCCACCCUUUGUGAACAUACCUCUGUUGCUUUGGCGGCUACUCGCCGCGAGGCCGGGCCCUCAAAAAGCCCGCCGCCCCGCGCGCGCUCUUCCGCCAGAGGACCUUCAAACUCCAGUCAGUAAACGUCGACGUCUGAUAAACAAGUUAAUAAACUAAAACUUUCAACAACGGAUCUCUUGGUUCUG